This 491-nucleotide ribosomal RNA is filed under the name uncultured bacterium. RNAcentral describes it as "partial 16S ribosomal RNA". It matches the Rfam family "Bacterial small subunit ribosomal RNA", at positions 30 to 506 of the family's 1533-position model. The record is from RNAcentral.
AGUGAACGCUGGCGGUAGGCCUAACACAUGCAAGUCGAACGGCAGCACAGUAAGAGCUUGCUCUUACGGGUGGCGAGUGGCGGACGGGUGAGGAAUACAUCGGAAUCUACUUUUUCGUGGGGGAUAACGUAGGGAAACUUACGCUAAUACCGCAUACGACCUACGGGUGAAAGCAGGGGAUCUUCGGACCUUGCGCGAUUGAAUGAGCCGAUGUCGGAUUAGCUAGUUGGCGGGGUAAAGGCCCACCAAGGCGACGAUCCGUAGCUGGUCUGAGAGGAUGACAAGCAAAAAGGGAAAGGAGAACAGGGCCAGAGACAGAGGGGAGGAAGCAGGGGGGAAUAGUGAAAAAGGGGGGCAAGCUUAACACAACAAUACGGGGGGGGUGAAGAAGGCCGUGGGGUUACAAAGCCUUUUUGUGGGAAAAAAAAAGCAGGAGGUUAAUACCCCGGUGUUAGGAGGGUACAAAAAGAAAAAGCACCGGCUAACUGAGU